RNAcentral lists this microRNA (22 nucleotides) under Salmo salar (Atlantic salmon). Its description in RNAcentral is "ssa-miR-106a-3p". Its record names the gene ssa-miR-106a-3p. Lineage: Eukaryota; Metazoa; Chordata; Actinopteri; Salmoniformes; Salmonidae. The record is from miRBase by way of RNAcentral.
CCGCAAUGUGAGCACUUCUGUC